RNA transcript from Carassius gibelio (silver crucian carp), 1162 nucleotides. It is a transcript of the gene named DiGeorge syndrome critical region gene 6, with no coding region annotated. NCBI's taxonomy places the organism in Eukaryota, Metazoa, Chordata, Actinopteri, Cypriniformes, Cyprinidae. The transcript is spliced from 8 exons. The record is from RefSeq and is a predicted model, not a curated record.
CUCUAGACGCCGCUAGUGCGCAUGCGCAGACAUGCACGCACAGUUCAAAACAAUCGGAACUUGUGUCUGUUUUGAUAUUUGUGAUUAAACAUCAUAAACAUCAUAAACAUCAUAAACAUCAUAAACAUCAACAACAUCAACCUCGCGUUCGUAUUUAACCUCGACACGCCUUCAGCAUCAAUCUUUUCCUCUCCGGAAGCUGAAAUCUAAAGCGGGCUGAAUGUGGGAUGGACAUGUACUGCGCUGUGAGAGACGAUCCGUCUGAUGCGGCCAGACAACAGGAGAGACACUAUUACCUGCUUUCAGAGCUGCAGACGCUCGUCAAGGACCUGCCCAGCUCGUUUCAGCAGCGUCUGUCCUACACCACACUCAGUGAUCUGGCUCAGGCGCUCAUCGACGGGACGGUGUAUGAAAUAGUGCAAGGCCUGCUGGACAUUCAACACCUGACGGAGAAAAACCUCUACAACCAGAGACAGAAGCUACACAGCGAGCACAGAGCUCUCAAGCAGGAUUUGGUUCGGAAGCACAGACAGUCUCUGCAGACGUGCAAGUCUCACAAUCUGUCCGUUCUGAAAACCAGCCAGAGAGCAGAAGCUGAGGCGCUCGAUCAGCGGGUGAAAGAAGAGCAGAGGAUGAUGGACGAGAAGGUGGUGGCUGAGAUGGAUCAGAAGGUUCUAGAUCAGCAGAACACGCUGGAGAAAGCAGGCGUGCCGGGUUUCUACAUCACCACUAACCCGCAGGAGGUGAUGAUGCAGAUGAAUCUGCUGGAGCUGAUCCUGAAGCUGCAGCAGAAAGAGACAGUGUCUGGAUCUCUGCCCUGAAGACGUGAAAGAAGGACCUUUAAAAAUCAUCUGAUCUCUGGGAUCUUCAGGACGAGAGAAAAUCACAGACGUGGACUUCUUCCCGUUUGGAGCGUCAUGUCAAAGCCGUGCACCUGUCCUCCUGCAGAGAUCUUCACCGCGACAGACGCUGAAUGCUGAUGGAAACAUGACAGGACUAUCAGAAUAAAACCAGUGCCUCUUCAUUUUAUUACAUACUAAUGAACACCGUCUGUCGCUCGCACUGCUUUUAGGGUUUAUGUACUGAGCGCUUUUGUCUUGAGGCAUUAGCUCCAAAAAAAAAAUAAUAUAAGUGGCUUUAGUAGACUAAUUAAAAGCCUGCC